Molecule: ribosomal RNA, 469 nt
Filed under: uncultured bacterium
Lineage: Bacteria
Description: partial 16S ribosomal RNA
Rfam family: Bacterial small subunit ribosomal RNA
Source: RNAcentral
GACGAACGCUGGCGGCGUGCUUAACACAUGCAAGUCGAACGGAAAGGCCCUGCUUGCAGGGUGCUCGAGUGGCGAACGGGUGAGUAACACGUGGGUGAUCUGCCCCUUACUUUGGGAUAAGCCUGGGAAACUGGGUCUAAUACUGGAUAGGACCAUGCUGUAGGUGGUGUGGUGGAAAGAUUAGUUUCGGUAAGGGAUGAGCUCGCGGCCUAUCAGCUUGUUGGUGGGGUAAUGGCCUACCAAGGCGUCGACGGGUAGCCGGCCUGAGAGGGGGGACGGCCACAUUGGGACUGAGAUGCGGCCCAGACUCCUACGGGAGGCAGCAGUGGGGAAUAUUGCACAAUGGGCGCAAGCCUGAUGCAGCGACGCCGCGUGGGGGAUGACGGCCUUCGGGUUGUAAACUCCUUUCAGCCAUGACGAAGCCCUUGUGGUGACGGUAGUGGUAGAAGAAGCACCGGCUAACUACGUG